GGGCCCGCACAAGCGGUGGAGCAUGUGGUUUAAUUCGAUGAUACGCGAGGAACCUUACCAGGGCUUAAAUGGGAAAUGACAGGGGCAGAGACGCCCCCUUCUUCGGACAUUUUUCAAGGUGCUGCAUGGUUGUCGUCAGCUCGUGCCGUGAGGUGUCAGGUUAAGUCCUAUAACGAGCGCAACCCCUACCGUUAGUUGCCAGCGUGUAAUGACGGGGACUCUAACGGAACUGCCGGUGCAAACCGUGAGGAAGGUGGGGACGACGUCAAAUCAUCACGGCCCUUACGUCCUGGGCCACACACGUGCUACAAUGGUAGGUACAGAGGGAAGCCACCCGCGAGGGGAGCGGAUCCCAAAAAGUGCGUCGUAGUCCGGAUCGGAGUCUGCAACUCGACUCCGUGAAGUCGGAAUCGCUAGUAAUCG
RNAcentral lists this ribosomal RNA (423 nucleotides) under uncultured bacterium. Its description in RNAcentral is "bacterial SSU rRNA". It matches the Rfam family "Bacterial small subunit ribosomal RNA", at positions 917 to 1344 of the family's 1533-position model. The record is from RNAcentral.